GAACAAGAUAAACAACUGAAUAUCAUCAAAGAAAGAAAAGAGUAUAUUGAAAGGAGACUAGAGACACCAGAGUCUAAACUGAAAGUGAAGCUACUGACUAGAAGGAAGUUGAUAAAUAAAAUAUUCAAAUCAAAGAAAUCAGAGACUCAGUAUUUCCGAACCUCUCUCCUAAUGAAAGCAGGAAGAGAGGAGGCAUUAGUGGAGUAUAAGAAAGAGAUUGAGUUACUACAAGAAAAUAUAUCAAUAACUAGUGUACAACUGCUGAUGAUUCAAAAGGGAAAUAUUGAGAAGAAGGAUCAGUGGACACAAUCACCAACAGCAGAAUCUAUUUACACAGCAUGUAUUGACUAUCAUGGA
Molecule: long non-coding RNA, 357 nt
Organism: Amphimedon queenslandica
Lineage: Eukaryota; Metazoa; Porifera; Demospongiae; Haplosclerida; Niphatidae
Exons: 5
Source: RefSeq, a predicted model, not a curated record